AACGAACGCUGGCGGCAGGCUUAACACAUGCAAGUCGAGCGAGACCUUCGGGUCUAGCGGCGGACGGGUGAGUAACGCGUGGGAACGUGCCCUUCUCUACGGAAUAGCCCCGGGAAACUGGGAGUAAUACCGUAUCCGCCCUUUGGGGGAAAGAUUUAUCGGAGAAGGAUCGGCCCGCGUUGGAUUAGGUAGUUGGUGGGGUAAUGGCCCACCAAGCCGACGAUCCAUAGCUGGUUUGAGAGGAUGAUCAGCCACACUGGGACUGAGACACGGCCCAGACUCCUACGGGAGGCAGCAGUGGGGAAUCUUAGACAAUGGGGGCAACCCUGAUCUAGCCAUGCCGCGUGAGUGAUGAAGGCCUUAGGGUUGUAAAGCGCUUUCAGCUGUGAAGAUAAUGACGGUACCAGCAGAAGAAGCCCCGGCUAACUCCGUG
RNAcentral lists this ribosomal RNA (433 nucleotides) under uncultured bacterium. Its description in RNAcentral is "partial 16S ribosomal RNA". It matches the Rfam family "Bacterial small subunit ribosomal RNA", at positions 29 to 507 of the family's 1533-position model. The record is from RNAcentral.